UUGAUUUUUUUUAAUGAACCUAUUUUUUCACACAUCCUCUUUCUCAUUCAUUCAAAAUUUCAAAAUUUUCACUCCUCUCUCUUGUUUUGCUCGCUGCCCCAACAUUUAUUUUCAAAUCUUCAUCUAUGUAAAAUAGCUUUCUUUGCCCUCUGUCAAUAGUAGCUUCCAAUUUCUCUCCAUCUCCCUUUGAAUCUUCAUCUGUCAAUCGCAGGUUUCAAUUGAGAGAUCUUCUCAGACGUUGCGUUUUUCAAAUCUGCGAUGCGUUUGGGACCGACUACUUUACGGGUUCAGUGGUUUUGUCCCUGUGUCGUGGAUUUGGUUUUUCGUGUGUUC
This 333-nucleotide small RNA is filed under the name Vigna angularis var. angularis. RNAcentral describes it as "Non-protein coding transcript". The record is from RNAcentral. Lineage: Eukaryota; Viridiplantae; Streptophyta; Magnoliopsida; Fabales; Fabaceae.